CCUACGGGUGGCAGCAGUGGGGAAUAUUGGGCAAUGGGCGCAAGCCUGACCCAGCAACGCCGCGUGAAGGAAGAAGGCUUUCGGGUUGUAAACUUCUUUUGUCAGGGAAGAGUAGAAGACGGUACCUGACGAAUAAGCCACGGCUAACUACGUGCCAGCAGCCGCGGUAAUACGUAGGUGGCAAGCGUAGUCCGGAUUUACUGGGUGUAAAGGGCGUGUAGCCGGGUUGACAAGUCAGAUGUGAAAUCCUGCGGCUUAACCGCAGAACUGCAUUUGAAACUGUUGGUCUUGAGUACUGGCGGGGCAGACGGAAUUCCUAGUGUAGCGGUGAAAUGCGUAGAUAUUAGGAGGAACACCAGUGGCGAAGGCGGUCUGCUGGACAGCAACUGACGGUGAGGCGCGAAAGCGUGGGGAGCAAACAGGAUUAGAUACCCCUGUAGUC
This 442-nucleotide ribosomal RNA is filed under the name uncultured bacterium. Its description in RNAcentral is "partial 16S ribosomal RNA". It matches the Rfam family "Bacterial small subunit ribosomal RNA", at positions 338 to 795 of the family's 1533-position model. The record is from RNAcentral.